RNAcentral lists this ribosomal RNA (253 nucleotides) under uncultured bacterium. RNAcentral describes it as "partial 16S ribosomal RNA". It matches the Rfam family "Bacterial small subunit ribosomal RNA", at positions 524 to 776 of the family's 1533-position model. The record is from RNAcentral.
GACGGACGGUGCAAGCGUUGCUCGGAAUUACUGGGCGUAAAGGGCGCGUAGGCGGCCUGUUAAGUCGAACGUGAAAUCCCCGGGCUCAACCCGGGAACUGCGUCCGAUACUGGCAGGCUUGAAUCCGGGAGAGGGAUGCGGAAUUCCAGGUGUAGCGGUGAAAUGCGUAGAUAUCUGGAGGAACACCGGUGGCGAAGGCGGCAUCCUGGACCGGCAUUGACGCUGAGGCGCGAAAGCCAGGGGAGCAAACGGG